Molecule: long non-coding RNA, 742 nt
Filed under: Pan troglodytes (chimpanzee)
Lineage: Eukaryota; Metazoa; Chordata; Mammalia; Primates; Hominidae
Description: long non-coding RNA NONPTRT002260
Source: RNAcentral
CCGCUCCCUGGGGCGCCCGCUCGCGCCGCGCCUGGGCCUCGCGCCGCCUUCAGUGGCCCCGCCGGCCGGUCGCGGGGUGCCGGGUGCCCGCCAGCCGCAUUCCGACACAGAGGGCCUGCCUGGCCGCCGCGAUCUUCGGCGGCUGCUCCGCGAGCCCGGGUGGUGAGGUGCACCUGUUCUUCAGCCGGCCCGCAGCCAACCCUCGACCAGCACUCUUCUGGAGAGACCAAUCCCAGCGCAGCGCGGAGGGCUAGCGGCCCGGCUCGCCUUGCUCCAGCCGUUCGCUGCUGCGCGCCGCUGCCGCCGCCGCCGGAGAGUCAAACUCCAGCGAACAGCGCCGCUGUCGCCGCCGCGAGCCAGGGGCUGGGGGCGCACCGGGCGCCCGCGGCGGGUGCGGUCUGACCCGCCUCCGAGGGACCCAACAAGCAGGCAGAGGAUCGGAAAUCACGCCCCGGCGCCCUGCCCGGUUGAGCGUGGGGGACGGAAGCGGGAGACUGCGUCGGGGGUCCCGGGGAACGCAGACCCCGGGCCGAGGGCGUCUCCAGACGGGCUCUGGCUGCCAGGCUGGGGGAGAGCCAAACGUUACACUGAAGAGACUGCAGAGAGCCGAGGAUGCAUUGAAACAGGAAGCCCCUGGGGUUUGGUGCCUACCAGAGUACUUUGUACAGACACGGUUAAUAAAUUAUUUUUGAUGGCAGUAAUGCGGCUGUCACCUCUUUCAGCUAAAACAUUGAGAUUUUCC